CAUAUCAUGUUGAAACACCAGUUCCCAUAUGAUUACCUAGGUUAACCAACAUCAAGCCUGGCCAGCACCUAGAUGGGUGACUGCUUGGGAAAACCAGGUGCUGUAAG
This is a non-coding RNA of Acanthosepion pharaonis, 107 nucleotides long. The record is from the annotation of a GenBank genome assembly. NCBI's taxonomy places the organism in Eukaryota, Metazoa, Mollusca, Cephalopoda, Sepiida, Sepiidae.